GACGAACGCUGGCGGCGUGCUUAACACAUGCAAGUUGAACGAGAAUUUUUCGAGUGAUUUCUUCGGAAUGAUCAUGAAAACGGAAAGUAGCGAGCGGGUGAGUAACACGUGAGAAACCUGCCUUUCACAAAGGGAUAGCCUCGGGAAACCGGGAUUAAUACCUUAUGAAACCACACACUCGCAUGAGGGAUUGGUUAAAGAUUUAUCGGUGUUAGAUGGUCUCGCGUCUGAUUAGCUAGUUGGUGGGAUAAAAGCCUACCAAGGCAACGAUCAGUAGCCGGAUUGAGAGGUUGAACGGCCACACUGGAACUGAGACACGGUCCAGACUCCUACGGGAGGCAGCAGUGGGGAAUUUUGCACAAUGGAGGAAACUCUGAUGCAGCGACGCCGCGUGAGUGAUGAAGGUCUUCGGAUUGUAAAACUCUGUCCUUAGUGAAGAUAAUGACAGUAACUAAGAAGCAAGCCCUGGCUAAAUACGUG
RNAcentral lists this ribosomal RNA (480 nucleotides) under uncultured bacterium. RNAcentral's name for it is "partial 16S ribosomal RNA". It matches the Rfam family "Bacterial small subunit ribosomal RNA", at positions 28 to 507 of the family's 1533-position model. The record is from RNAcentral.